AGAAAAAUGGUUAUAAAUGUCAGCAGUUGAAAUUAACCCGCUCUCUCAGCUGCUUCAAACUCCAGUUCUUUUCUCAGGCAGCCACUUUACUUCUUAUCUCUAAACUAAUAAAACAAGACUGAUUUUUUAAUAUCAUCCUUACAGGGGUCUAUCUGCCUCAAGUCUCUCCCUCCUUCAAUCUAUCCAGUCACCAAAGUGAUCGUUCUAAAUAAAACUCAGCUCUGAACAUGUCACUUUUCCUAUGUAAGAGAGAAAAUCAGAUUCAGCAUGAAAAAGAGCAACCCAAAUGGGGGAAGGGCAGGGAAGACAGAGGAUUCCAGGAAGGAAGAUAGAAGAGCUGAGGAGAAACUGCCAGAUCACCUCACUUCUCUUUGGGAGCUCUCCUGGAGUGGUUGGCCUGAGAGAAACCUCUGAGACAGAAGACCUUUCUGAGCAUUGACCACCUCUCAGUGAACCCAAACCCCCUUGGAUCCAGCUGAAGAUAAAGGAGUAGAUGGGACUUUGUUAGAAAGCCAUUCACCCAAAGAAGAAUUCUCUCAUUCCCUAAAACUUGUCCUUUGAACUUCAUGCCAUAACUGGUAGAAUGGAAGCUCCUUGAGGCAGAGGCUGCAGAAAUGCAGGCUGAAGGACAGAUUUGAGACUUGGAUGCUGCUCAUCCUUCCCUGGCCUUAGGGCCCCUGGCUUGCCCCCUACCCUGCCCUCCCGGGUACCUGUGCCUCCUCAGCCCUUACUGCACAUUCCACCUACGGCCUUUGCUUUCCAUCAACUGUGAGCUCUGCUUAGCAAUCAGCGAUAAGAGAAGAAGAAUUGUCUUUCUGAUAAAUCUGACCCUGAAAGGGUGAGGUCCAGGCCAGAAAGAAACAGAAGGCCAAGGAGGAAAGUCUGGGGAGGAGUGGAGAGAAGCUACAGGGGCAAAGAUUAAGGAGAUUCAAGUGGUGUAGCCCCGGCUCUGUGUUUUGUCUGUUUAGGUUUUGGGGAGAAACCCAAUAGAGCAAAGGGGGAGCCCCGCUUUUUCUAAGGUUGGCAAUUUAUUGUAAUUAACUCUUCGGGGGGGACGGUGGCAAAAGAGAUGAAUAAACACUCAAAUUCAGACGGAGUAGCUUGCUUUUAAAGUAUAUUUGGGAAAUCCCUUGGCCAAGAGCAAUCUGACAAUUUUAAUUUAACUUCUCUUCAAAGGUGGGGCUGGGUAAGCCCAGUGCAACACAGGCAAAAUCACUGCUGUACCCCUUUCUGGGAAGGAAGAUGAUGCAGGGUCCUGAAGCAUCCCCCAGAAAUAGCACAGUAUAGGGCCCUAGAAACAAAACAGAUCCUGGAGCUCCAUGACUUUGGGAGUUUCUUAAAACUCUACCAGGGAUGAUUUUGUGAGUUUAUGUAGCAGAGACUCAACCCUUUAACACCUAUCAGUCAUUUCUCUCUUGUGAAGAGUUUUUCAACUACUGAUUAAAAAUGUCUUUAAUCACA
Non-coding RNA from Monodelphis domestica (gray short-tailed opossum), 1461 nucleotides. Lineage: Eukaryota; Metazoa; Chordata; Mammalia; Didelphimorphia; Didelphidae. The record is from RefSeq and is a predicted model, not a curated record.